GAAAGCCGUGUGCGGGAGAACCGCACGCACGGUGUGAAGCGGCGGGGGCUGGAAACGGAGCGGAAGCCACCGAGCCAGUCCUCGACCGUAC
RNAcentral lists this unclassified non-coding RNA (91 nucleotides) under Streptomyces yunnanensis. The record is from RNAcentral. Lineage: Bacteria; Bacillati; Actinomycetota; Actinomycetes; Kitasatosporales; Streptomycetaceae.